RNAcentral lists this ribosomal RNA (393 nucleotides) under uncultured bacterium. Its description in RNAcentral is "partial 16S ribosomal RNA". It matches the Rfam family "Bacterial small subunit ribosomal RNA", at positions 523 to 918 of the family's 1533-position model. The record is from RNAcentral.
AUACGGAGGAUGCGAGCGUUAUCCGGAUUUAUUGGGUUUAAAGGGUGCGUAGGCUGUGCGUUAAGUCAGGGGUGAAAUGCCGUUGCUCAACGACGGAGCUGCCCUUGAUACUGGCGUGCUGGAGUACGGAUGCCGUUGGAGGAAUGAGUGGUGUAGCGGUGAAAUGCUUAGAUAUCACUCAGAACACCGAUUGCGAAGGCAUCUGACGAAUCCGUCACUGACGCUGAGGCACGAAAGCGUGGGGAUAGAACAGGAUUAGAUACCCUGGUAUUCCACGCCGUAAACGAUGAUGACUAACCGUCGGCGAUAGACAGCCGGUGGCCAAGCGAAAGCGAUAAGUCAUCCACCUGGGGAGUACGUCGGCAACGAUGAAACUCAAAUGAAUUGGCGGGG